RNAcentral lists this non-coding RNA (81 nucleotides) under uncultured Plesiomonas sp. Its description in RNAcentral is "RpsF leader". It matches the Rfam family "RpsF leader". Rfam says of the family: Conserved and widely distributed to many bacterial species RNA structure. It precedes operon containing rpsF, which encodes ribosomal protein S6. Lineage: Bacteria; Pseudomonadati; Pseudomonadota; Gammaproteobacteria; Enterobacterales; Enterobacteriaceae. The record is from RNAcentral.
ACUUUGAAAUCGUUCCUUGCUUCCGCGGGCUGACGACUGACCCGGAUCGGAGGCUGAAUAAUCCGUAAGGAGCAAUUGAUG